UACAGAGGGUGCAAGCGUUGUUCGGAAUUAUUGGGCGUAAAGGGCGCGUAGGCGGCGCGGUAAGUCACUUGUGAAAUCUCUGAGCUUAACUCAGAACGGCCAAGUGAUACUACAGUGCUAGAGUGUGGAAGGGGCAAUCGGAAUUCUUGGUGUAGCGGUGAAAUGCGUAGAUAUCAAGAGGAACACCUGAGGUGAAGACGGGUUGCUGGGCCAACACUGACGCUGAUGCGCGAAAGCCAGGGGAGCAAACGGG
This 253-nucleotide ribosomal RNA is filed under the name uncultured bacterium. RNAcentral describes it as "partial 16S ribosomal RNA". It matches the Rfam family "Bacterial small subunit ribosomal RNA", at positions 524 to 776 of the family's 1533-position model. The record is from RNAcentral.